AACGAACGCUGGCGGCAUGCCUAACACAUGCAAGUCGAACGGGAUCCUAGCUUGCUAGGUGAGAGUGGCGGACGGGUGAGUAACACGUGGGAAUCUGCCUUUUGGUUCGGGAUAACCGCGGGAAACUGCGGCUAAUACCGAAUGCCCUCGAGAGAGGAAAGAUUUAUCGCCAGAAGAGGAGCCCGCGUCCGAUUAGGUAGUUGGUGGGGUAAAGCCUACCAAGCCGACGAUCGGUAGCUGGUCUGAGAGGAUGAUCAGCCACACUGGGACUGAGAUACGGCCCAGACUCCUACGGGAGCAGCAGUGGGGAAUAUUGGACAAUGGGGGCAACCCGUGAUCCAGCAAUGCCGCGUGAGUGAUGAAGGCCUUAGGUUGUAAAGCUCUUUUGCCAGGGAAGAUGAUGACUGUACCUGGAGAAUAAGCCCCGGCUAACUCGUGCCAGCAGCCACGGUAAU
This 455-nucleotide ribosomal RNA is filed under the name uncultured bacterium. Its description in RNAcentral is "bacterial SSU rRNA". It matches the Rfam family "Bacterial small subunit ribosomal RNA", at positions 29 to 524 of the family's 1533-position model. The record is from RNAcentral.